GAUGAUUACAAAGAUGUCUCCCUUUGUUUCUCUGUUGCAUAACUUGUAUAGUUAGAUUUUUUUUUUAAGUAUCUAGUUAAUGUCAGGCAUGGAUUCUGUUGAUUAUGGCCAGCUAGACAAUUCUUUGCUUACUUUGUAUAAACAAGCCUCUCUUAUCAAACUAUUCUCUUUUUCUUGGAUCUCUUUUUUAUUUGCAGGGAGAAGAUAUGAAGGAGAUUGAUAGUCUGAAAGACAGGAUAACAAAACUCCAAUUGAGACAAAUGAGGAUGCUGGGUAAAGAUUUAUCAAACUUGAGCUUGAAAGAAGUGCAGCAGCUGGAAAAGCAACUCAGUGAAAGCCUACUGUCUGUAAAAGCUAAGAAGGACCAAUUGCUGAUGGAACAACCCGAGCAUUCACGCAGGCAGGUACUUCACAGUAUUUAUAUGACUAAAUAGUUAUAAUUUUUGUUUGAUGUAUGUUGUUGGUCUUGUGACAUGGUACUAUGUGUUUUACCUAAGACUAAAGAUGCAGUUUUUACCUAUUUUUUUAAUAAUUUAGGAGCAGAGGGCCUUACCAGACAAGUAACUAUAUUUCUUUCUCCCAUUCAUGUGAUCGAGUUUUACUGUGUGGGGUGGACUAAUAUAGCAGUUUUAAAUCUGUAUUUUUAUGAUCUGUAGAUUUAUGAGCUUAGAGGAUUUCAUACACCAUCUGAACGCCCGAAACCUAUGUAUCUUGAGUACUACCCCAUAGCAACCAAGGUUUCUUCUGCGACGAACGGGACUUCAGGUUCUGAUGGAGACUGCAACAGUGAAUUCGACAAAACAUAUUCUGAUGUUACUUUGCACCUAGGCCAGGGUACUCCUCUUUUCCCCAAAUUUCAUAAAUUAGUUUUUUCAAAUGGUUUGAUUUAAAAUUGUUGCUUCUUACAUUCAGGCUACCAUGUGACAACAUUCGAAAGAGGAAAGCAAUCGAGAGGUAGUGCUGAAGCCUAGAAGAGUCUAUCUGGUUGUCCUUCUCUGCCUCAUUGCUAGCUGCUGCUCAAAUUGGCACCAGAAAUAGCAUGUUUUGAAAUCGGAAAUGGAGCUGAAGUUAGAAGAGAAGAAACGACUAGUAGCUGAAAUUGGACGAGUUAUUGAUUUCUGCUAAAAAAAACAAUCUUCAGUACGUCAAAUGCGGCUGACUAAGGUAUAUA
Spinacia oleracea (spinach) is the source of this 1171-nucleotide RNA transcript. It is a transcript of the gene named MADS-box transcription factor 17-like, with no coding region annotated. The record is from RefSeq and is a predicted model, not a curated record. The transcript is spliced from 5 exons. NCBI's taxonomy places the organism in Eukaryota, Viridiplantae, Streptophyta, Magnoliopsida, Caryophyllales, Amaranthaceae.